CAAAUCUAGUCUUUAUUUAACAACAUAAGCAAACUCUAUGUUACAAUGAUUGCACAGCCAUUAAGAAUCAAAUCGGUUUCUGAAAAAUGUUCUUUUUUUCCUCCCUCUGCUUGCUUCUUACUGUCUUUGAGGCCGAUCGGGACCAGCACUCCUGUCUUUGGACAGAAAGACAUCAACUCAGUGAUAAACUUGGGAUGUGACUGCACUAUGCUGUUGCUAGUGACUCCAGUUAAUUCUACAAGACAUGCUGUGACAACAGGAGAGAUGAGUCCUCCAUCACAGAUGGUGUGGUCAGUGAAGAUGGUCGCCUGCAGGUUCAAGCUCAUUGCAUCGCCAACCCACAUCCACUGUACUUAAGGGAAGUUAAAGACUUUCUUCUGCACCUACAUUUGGAUCACCUCGAUCCAUGACAGUCAUUCAGGCAGUAAUGCCUGGACUGGAAACAAGCAUCCUUAAAAUAAUACAACAUUCCAGCUCAUGUGUUGGAAUGAAAAACAAAUGUGUUGUUUAAAUCAGAGACUGCACUUGUGACAGAACGAUAAAUAUUUUAUUUUGAUUAUAUAAGUAAGUACAAAACAAACUUGUGGUAGGCCUAAACUUAUUUUCAGAAUAAUUACAUCUGAGACUUUGUUUCAUUGUAACAUAACAGUGAUGGCAAUAUAACUGUUUGUUGUUCAAGAGAACAGUGUCCAGUAUGUUGGCUGUUAUACUUUGUUGUGUUUGAAAAUAAAAGUUGGGCUGAU
Oreochromis aureus is the source of this 743-nucleotide long non-coding RNA. The record is from Ensembl. NCBI's taxonomy places the organism in Eukaryota, Metazoa, Chordata, Actinopteri, Cichliformes, Cichlidae.